Molecule: ribosomal RNA, 1413 nt
Filed under: Bacillus sp. (in: firmicutes)
Lineage: Bacteria; Bacillati; Bacillota; Bacilli; Caryophanales; Bacillaceae
Description: bacterial SSU rRNA
Rfam family: Bacterial small subunit ribosomal RNA
Source: RNAcentral
CUUGCUCCCUUAGGUCAGCGGCGGACGGGUGAGUAACACGUGGGUAACCUGCCUGUAAGACUGGGAUAACUCCGGGAAACCGGGGCUAAUACCGGAUGCUUGAUUGAACCGCAUGGUUCAAUCAUAAAAGGUGGCUUUUAGCUACCACUUGCAGAUGGACCCGCGGCGCAUUAGCUAGUUGGUGAGGUAACGGCUCACCAAGGCGACGAUGCGUAGCCGACCUGAGAGGGUGAUCGGCCACACUGGGACUGAGACACGGCCCAGACUCCUACGGGAGGCAGCAGUAGGGAAUCUUCCGCAAUGGACGAAAGUCUGACGGAGCAACGCCGCGUGAGUGAUGAAGGUUUUCGGAUCGUAAAACUCUGUUGUUAGGGAAGAACAAGUACCGUUCGAAUAGGGCGGCACCUUGACGGUACCUAACCAGAAAGCCACGGCUAACUACGUGCCAGCAGCCGCGGUAAUACGUAGGUGGCAAGCGUUGUCCGGAAUUAUUGGGCGUAAAGCGCGCGCAGGCGGUUUCUUAAGUCUGAUGUGAAAGCCCCCGGCUCAACCGGGGAGGGUCAUUGGAAACUGGGGAACUUGAGUGCAGAAGAGGAGAGUGGAAUUCCCACGUGUAGCGGUGAAAUGCGUAGAGAUGUGGAGGAACACCAGUGGCGAAGGCGACUCUCUGGUCUGUAACUGACGCUGAGGCGCGAAAGCGUGGGGAGCGAACAGGAUUAGAUACCCUGGUAGUCCACGCCGUAAACGAUGAGUGCUAAGUGUUAGAGGGUUUCCGCCCUUUAGUGCUGCAGCAAACGCAUUAAGCACUCCGCCUGGGGAGUACGGUCGCAAGACUGAAACUCAAAGGAAUUGACGGGGGGCCCGCACAAGCGGUGGAGCAUGUGGUUUAAUUUCGAAGCAACGCGAAGAACCUUACCAGGUCUUGACAUCCUCUGACAACCCUAGAGAUAGGGCUUCCCCUUCGGGGGCAGAGUGACAGGUGGUGCAUGGUUGUCGUCAGCUCGUGUCGUGAGAUGUUGGGUUAAGUCCCGCAACGAGCGCAACCCUUGAUCUUAGUUGCCAGCAUUCAGUUGGGCACUCUAAGGUGACUGCCGGUGACAAACCGGAGGAAGGUGGGGAUGACGUCAAAUCAUCAUGCCCCUUAUGACCUGGGCUACACACGUGCUACAAUGGGCAGAACAAAGGGCAGCGAAGCCGCGAGGCUAAGCCAAUCCCACAAAUCUGUUCUCAGUUCGGAUCGCAGUCUGCAACUCGACUGCGUGAAGCUGGAAUCGCUAGUAAUCGCGGAUCAGCAUGCCGCGGUGAAUACGUUCCCGGGCCUUGUACACACCGCCCGUCACACCACGAGAGUUUGUAACACCCGAAGUCGGUGAGGUAACCUUUUGGAGCCAGCCGCCGAAGGUGGGACAGAUG